RNAcentral lists this unclassified non-coding RNA (190 nucleotides) under uncultured Pestalotiopsis. Its description in RNAcentral is "sequence contains ITS1". Lineage: Eukaryota; Fungi; Ascomycota; Sordariomycetes; Amphisphaeriales; Amphisphaeriaceae. The record is from RNAcentral.
UAGAGUUUUUCAAACUCCCAACCCAUGUGAACUUACCACUGUUGCCUCGGCAGAGGCUACCCGGUACCUACCUCGGGACGGCCUACCCUGUAGCGCCUUACCUGGGAACGGUUACCCUGUAGCGGCUGCCGGUGGACUACCAAACUCUUGUUAUUUUAUUGUAAUCUGAGCGUCUUAUUUUAAUAAGUCA